AAAGUUUGUCAACCUGAAAAAGAAUGGAUUGUUAGGGGAAAAGUUGCAAAGGAGUUGCCUACUAUUUGCAUAAUGUCGACGAAUUCUGGUGGAAGACCUCCGAGCAUUUCACGCAUUUGAAGACCAUUUCGGCACAACUUUU
Non-coding RNA from Caenorhabditis elegans, 142 nucleotides. Lineage: Eukaryota; Metazoa; Nematoda; Chromadorea; Rhabditida; Rhabditidae. The record is from Ensembl.